UACUAAACAUAUAUGCCUCACAGGGAACUUAUGUCCCUUCUGCACAUCUGGAGGGUGGGGUCCCAGCGGCCACUGAUUACGCCGUGAAUCAAGUAAUUACCACAUGGAACACUGAUGACCCCAAAAGCCAUGCGUUAGACGGGUUCGAGUAUACCAAUGGAAGACUGCAAGUGCCCGAGGAUGGUCGUUACUAUGUUUACAUGCAGAUGUACUUCAACAAAAGGUCACACAACAAUAACAACCGUGUGGCUCUUUUUGCCAACAAUCGUAUUCUCUUGAUGAUUCACAAGGAUAUGUCGCCCGGACAGGAGAACACCGGUUUUGCUGGAGGCGUAUUCCAAUUGAAAAAAGGAGAAAAGAUCUACGUGAAAGUCAUUGGUUUUAACACCAAAAUGUGGUUGGGGCCUAACCACAGUUAUUUUGGUGCUUACCUGAUAUAACCUCUGAUAUUUUAGAGAAGCAAUUUGAUGCAAAGCAAAACUUAGAGAGCUCAAUAAAAGUAAAAGGAGCGUA
Molecule: long non-coding RNA, 513 nt
Filed under: Orbicella faveolata
Lineage: Eukaryota; Metazoa; Cnidaria; Anthozoa; Scleractinia; Merulinidae
Description: uncharacterized LOC110065033
Source: RNAcentral